Molecule: ribosomal RNA, 487 nt
Filed under: uncultured bacterium
Lineage: Bacteria
Description: bacterial SSU rRNA
Rfam family: Bacterial small subunit ribosomal RNA
Source: RNAcentral
AAAUGAAUAGACGGGGGCCCGCACAAGCAGUGGAUUAUGUGGUUUAAUUCGAAGCAACGCGAAGAACCUUACCAGGUCUUGACAUGCCACGCAUACCCCAGAGAUGGGGGAAGCCCUUCGGGGCGUGGACACAGGUGGUGCAUGGUUGUCGUCAGCUCGUGUCGUGAGAUGUUGGGUUAAGUCCCGCAACGAGCGCAACCCUUACCAUUAGUUGCUACGCAAGAGCACUCUAAUGGGACUGCCGUUGACAAAACGGAGGAAGGUGGGGAUGAUGUCAAAUCAUCAUGCCCUUUAUGACCUGGGCUACACACGUAAUACAAUGGCGCUUAACAGAGGGAAGCAAAGCCGCGAGGCCCAGCAAAACCCUAAAAGGCGCCCCAGUUCGGAUUGCAGGCUGCAACCCGCCUGCAUGAAGCCGGAAUUGCUAGUAAUCGCGGAUCAUCAUGCCGCGGUGAAUACGUUCCCGGGCCUUGCACACACCGCCCGU